UUUACGUAGGUGAACCUGCGGAAGGAUCAUUAUUGUAUAACAGAGGUUCGAGGGCUGCGGCUGACCAGAACGGUUGUGCAAGUCAGAGUGUACCACCACACAACUAUCACACCCCUGUGUGCACCAUUGCGUGGGUCACCGUUUGGCCUGUUCGGAGAGGGGAUUACGUUUUCAAACAAACUCUGAAUGUAGUGUAGAAUGUAUUUUUUGAUUUUGUGACUUCGCAAUCACUACAACUUUCAACAAAGGAUAUCUUGGCACCCGCCUCGAUGAAGCAGG
This 279-nucleotide unclassified non-coding RNA is filed under the name plant metagenome. RNAcentral describes it as "partial contains small subunit ribosomal RNA, internal transcribed spacer 1, and 5.8S ribosomal RNA". The record is from RNAcentral.